RNAcentral lists this ribosomal RNA (253 nucleotides) under uncultured bacterium. RNAcentral's name for it is "partial 16S ribosomal RNA". It matches the Rfam family "Bacterial small subunit ribosomal RNA", at positions 524 to 776 of the family's 1533-position model. The record is from RNAcentral.
UACGAAGGGUGCUAGCGUUGUUCGGAAUUACUGGGCGUAAAGCGCGUGUAGGCGGGCCGUUAAGUUGGGGGUGAAAGCCCAGAGCUCAACUCUGGAAUUGCCUUCGAUACUGGCGGCCUGGAGCAUGAUAGAGGCGAGUGGAAUUGCGAGUGUAGAGGUGAAAUUCGUAGAUAUUCGCAGGAACACCAGUGGCGAAGGCGACUCGCUGGAUCAUUGCUGACGCUGAGACGCGAAAGCGUGGGGAGCAAACAGG